Molecule: ribosomal RNA, 460 nt
Filed under: uncultured bacterium
Lineage: Bacteria
Description: partial 16S ribosomal RNA
Rfam family: Bacterial small subunit ribosomal RNA
Source: RNAcentral
CCUACGGGUGGCAGCAGUGAGGAAUAUUGGUCAAUGGACGAGAGUCUGAACCAGCCAAGUAGCGUGAAGGAUGACUGCCCUAUGGGUUGUAAACUUCUUUUAUAUGGGAAUAAAACGUUCCACGUGUGGGAUUUUGUAUGUACCAUAUGAAUAAGGAUCGGCUAACUCCGUGCCAGCAGCCGCGGUAAUACGGAGGAUCCGAGCGUUAUCCGGAUUUAUUGGGUUUAAAGGGAGCGUAGGUGGAUUGUUAAGUCAGUUGUGAAAGUUUGCGGGUCAACCGUAAAAUUGCAGUUGAAACUGGCAGUCUUGAGUACAGUAGAGGUGGGCGGAAUUCGUGGUGUAGCGGUGAAAUGCUUAGAUAUCACGAAGAAAUCCGAUUGCGAAGGCAGUUCACUGGACUGCAACUGACACUGAGGCUCGAAAGUGUGGGUAUCAAACAGGAUUAGAUACCCGAGUAGUC